Molecule: long non-coding RNA, 622 nt
Organism: Bubalus bubalis (water buffalo)
Lineage: Eukaryota; Metazoa; Chordata; Mammalia; Artiodactyla; Bovidae
Exons: 3
Source: RefSeq, a predicted model, not a curated record
GUGUCCUCUGCCCAGGGCAAGGAGCAGAUGAAGGGCUACAAGGACCAGGGCUCUUUCCCUCUGUCCCCCAUUCCCCCAGGAGGCUCUCUGGAAAGGUUUUUGGAAUGAAGGAAAACAUGAGUCCAGGACAGGCAGAAGCUGCAAUGCAGUGGGCCCCAGGCCAGCAACACAACUCUUAUCCAACCAAGGAGCAGUAUGCAAGAAGAAGCUAGGAGUGGAGGACCCUGCCAAGAGAAGCCUCGAAUGCCAAGCUCGGAUUAUGGUGCUGUGGGACUAGUGGAGAAGGAAGGCACUGCCUACCUCAAGAGAGUGCGGUUUGGAGCCCUUCUGCCAAGGGUGCCAGAGGAGCCGUUCCCCAGAUCUGUCAUCUUCUCUGUGAGAAAAGUACUAGGUCUAGGCUGAAAUGCACUCUACCAGUCAACAAAUACACCGACAGAUGCCUCAUCUGUGUACAAAUCAGAUCCUCCUUCAACACACUCGGGUCCUCCAGGGAAUGAGACCAAGAGGUAGGUGAGAUUUAAAUACUGUCGCUUUUGCGGAGAGGGAAACUAAGGCCAGGCGUGGCAGUGACUCGCCACGGAAGGUGCAGGGCCAUCCCUCCCGAGUGCCAGAGCCCAGAGCA